GAUGAACGCUGGCGGCGUGCCUAAUACAUGCAAGUCGAGCGAACAGACGAGGAGCUUGCUCCUCUGACGUUAGCGGCGGACGGGUGAGUAACACGUGUAUAACCUACCUAUAAGACUGGGAUAACUUCGGGAAACCGGAGCUAAUACCGGAGAAUAUAUUGAACCGCAUGGUUCAAUAGUGAAAGACGGUUUUGCUGGCAGUUAUAGAUGGAUCCGCGCCGCAUUAGCUAGUUGGUAAGGUAACGGCUUAUCAAGGGAACGAUGCGUAGGCGACCGGAGAGGGUGGUAGGCCACCCUGGAACGGGGACACGCACCAGACUACUACGGGAGGCAGCAGUAGGGAAUCUUCCGCAAUGGGCGAAAGCAUGACGGAGCAACGCCGAGUGAGUGAUGAAGGUCUUCGGAUCGUAAAACUCUGUUAUUAGGGAAAAACAAAUGUGUAAGUAACUAUGCACGUCUUGACGGUACCUAAUCAGAAAGCAACGGCUAACUACGUG
This 497-nucleotide ribosomal RNA is filed under the name uncultured bacterium. Its description in RNAcentral is "partial 16S ribosomal RNA". It matches the Rfam family "Bacterial small subunit ribosomal RNA", at positions 28 to 507 of the family's 1533-position model. The record is from RNAcentral.